Non-coding RNA from Roridomyces roridus, 113 nucleotides. Lineage: Eukaryota; Fungi; Basidiomycota; Agaricomycetes; Agaricales; Mycenaceae. The record is from the annotation of a GenBank genome assembly.
GGCAAGAUGGCCGAGUGGUCUAAGGCGCCGCACUCAAGCGAAUAGCUUAUCUGUAUACCAACGGGUUCAUUGCGGUCUCGAAAGAGGCGUGGGUUCAAAUCCCACUCUUGUCA